CGCCGGAGAGGGGCGUCGCAGUUCAUCCCCGAAGCCAGGUACAGUGGAGUUGCCCAACUGUACUUAGGGAUUCGUGAGCGAAUCAAUAUGAAUAAGACUACUAG
Phoenix dactylifera (date palm) is the source of this 104-nucleotide non-coding RNA. The record is from RefSeq and is a predicted model, not a curated record. NCBI's taxonomy places the organism in Eukaryota, Viridiplantae, Streptophyta, Magnoliopsida, Arecales, Arecaceae.